Molecule: ribosomal RNA, 342 nt
Filed under: Triticum aestivum (bread wheat)
Lineage: Eukaryota; Viridiplantae; Streptophyta; Magnoliopsida; Poales; Poaceae
Description: partial small subunit ribosomal RNA
Source: RNAcentral
AUGGCGCCGCCCGGGUCACGACGGUGGGCGUACGUGCGGAUCAUGGCCGGCACCAUCGUUGGUGGCGGCCUCGGCUUCUACGUCAUGCUCCGCAUCGAGACCUCCUACAAGGUGAGGAUGGAGGAGAGGCUGCGUCGAUGGCAAGCUGGAGUGCCUCUACCAUGGCUGGCAGUUGGACGGCCAGGGCAAGUGCGUCAAGAUCCCACAGGUCCCACCAUUCCACACUUCUUUCUAAUCAAGUUCAGUCAUGGAUCUGUACAAAUGCAUGAGAUUCUAGUCCAAAAUUUAUGUGUGAUACUAUAUAACUGUGUUAUGUUUGAGAUUCUAGUCUUGACACAGUAG